This 460-nucleotide ribosomal RNA is filed under the name uncultured bacterium. RNAcentral's name for it is "partial 16S ribosomal RNA". It matches the Rfam family "Bacterial small subunit ribosomal RNA", at positions 338 to 795 of the family's 1533-position model. The record is from RNAcentral.
CCUACGGGCGGCAGCAGUGAGGAAUAUUGGUCAAUGGGCGCGAGCCUGAACCAGCCAAGUAGCGUGAAGGAUGACUGCCCUACGGGUUGUAAACUUCUUUUAUAAAGGACUAAAGUGAGGCACGUGUGCCUUUUUGUAUGUACUUUAUGAAUAAGGAUCGGUUAACUCCGUGCCAGCAGCCGCGGUAAUACGGAGGAUCCGAGCGUUAUCCGGAUUUAUUGGGUUUAAGGGGAGCGUAGAUGGGUUGUUAAGUAAGUUGUGAAAGUUUGCGGUCCAACCGUAAAAUUGCAAUUGAUACUGGCAGUCUUGAGUACAGGUGAGGUAGGCGGAAUUCGUGGUGUAGCAGUGAAAUGCUUAGAUAUCACGCAGAACUCCGAUUGCGAAGGCAGCUUACUAAUCUGCCACUGACAUUGAUGCUCGAAAGUGUGGGUAUCAAACAGGAUUAGAUACCCCGGUAGUC